This 713-nucleotide long non-coding RNA is filed under the name Fukomys damarensis (Damara mole-rat). RNAcentral describes it as "lncRNA (ENSFDAG00000030169.1)". Lineage: Eukaryota; Metazoa; Chordata; Mammalia; Rodentia; Bathyergidae. The record is from RNAcentral.
GAAAAGCUGUGUGAGUUAGAAUCACAGUGGGCUUGUCUGAACUGUCCUCACCCUACCCUCUUGUCACCCAAAGAGCCCGAAUGCAAAGUCCAAGACCAGGUCUUUCUCUUCUGGGGAGUUCUGUCCAGUACCAAGCUAUGUGGGGUGAACUCCAUUUGUCUGGAGCACUGUGGCUCAUGCUGUCUCUGUGUCUGCAGGCGUUUGGGGACAUUAACCGGACUGUUGGGUGAGAGCUCUCCUACCUCUGCGAGCGAGCGCCUUGGCUGUCUGGAUUUCUUUUUGGGUUACUCCUCCUGCCCUGUGUCCCGUGGGAUGGGAUGCGCUCUGCUCCGUGGAUCUCUCGGAGUGCAGCUGGUCCUGGACCCGGAACUGGAAAUCAGCCUUAGAAUGUGGAGAACCCCUGCCGGACCAGGGCUGGCGUCCCUUUGAUGACUGAAGGCACGGGUCAUUUGGAAGAGUGGAAGCCUCAUCAGGCCCGGUCAGGCUUGAUAGAACAUCUGUUUGCGGGAGCUCAGUGGAGGUAAGCAGAGCAGCCACCCACCUCUGUGUUGGUCGGGGUUUGUGUUUGCUGCUUUGUUUGUCUAACGUUAUUCUCCACUAAAAGCACCCCCAUUUGGCAUCAAAAGCAUCAUUGAGCCCUCCACAACCCACUGUCUCUCCUGUGGUUCAUCAAUCCAUACACAUCUAUUUAGCACCUACUGUGUGUCCAGCAU